This is a long non-coding RNA of Salvia splendens (bonfire salvia), 292 nucleotides long. RefSeq lists it as uncharacterized. The record is from RefSeq and is a predicted model, not a curated record. The transcript has 3 exons. Lineage: Eukaryota; Viridiplantae; Streptophyta; Magnoliopsida; Lamiales; Lamiaceae.
UGCAUAUCAGCCCCCAUAGGAGAAGUAGACCUCAAGCUUUCAUCUCCCUCUAUUUUGCAAAUCGUUCGGUGAAAUUGAAUUCUAGACACGUACUCCCCGAUGACUUGAGGCGAAGGAACCUAUAGUGCAUUUUGGAGACAAAGGAGUGAACCUAGAAGGUAGAGAAGUAUCAAGGUGAAAUAUGCUUAUGUUCAUAAGCCUAAGAGGUUAGAGUUGAUAGUAUGUCAGUGUGGUUGGGCAGCUUUGCAAUUUUUGGCGGGUCACUGGUGAUCAACAUGGUUAAAAAUCGUGG